RNAcentral lists this long non-coding RNA (402 nucleotides) under Gossypium raimondii (Peruvian cotton). RNAcentral's name for it is "long non-coding RNA (GRAI_LNC005075)". The record is from RNAcentral. Lineage: Eukaryota; Viridiplantae; Streptophyta; Magnoliopsida; Malvales; Malvaceae.
AAAAGAUGAAGAAAGAGACAGCCUUGACAGUAAAUAUCUCAGCUGAGAAGAUGAACAAAGAGACAGCCUUGACAAUAAAUAACUCAGCUGAGAAGAUGAACAAAGAGAUGGCCAGGACAGUGAAUAGCUCAGCUGAGAAGAUGAGACAAGAGACAGCUACAGUAAAUGGCUCGGCUGAGAAGAUGAAGAAAGAGACGGCCUUGACAGUAAAAAGCUCGAACGAGAAGGUGAAGAAAGAAACAGCCUUGACAGUAAAUAACUCAGCUGAGAAGGUUAAGAAAGAGAUCGCUUCAACAGUGAAUGGCUCAGCUGAGAAGAUGAAAAAAGAGACCACUGUGGCAGUUUCGAAAUCACCUGACAUUGAAACUAUGCUGGGGCCAUUAGGGAGGAAUGAGACAUCAG